This 253-nucleotide ribosomal RNA is filed under the name uncultured bacterium. RNAcentral describes it as "partial 16S ribosomal RNA". It matches the Rfam family "Bacterial small subunit ribosomal RNA", at positions 524 to 776 of the family's 1533-position model. The record is from RNAcentral.
UACAGAGGUCUCAAGCGUUGUUCGGAUUCAUUGGGCGUAAAGGGUGCGUAGGUGGUGAGGUAAGUCGGAUGUGAAAGCUCGGAGCUCAACUCCGAAAUGGCAUUGGAAACUACCUCGCUCGAGGGUUGGAGGGGGGACUGGAAUGCUUGGUGUAGCAGUGAAAUGCGUAGAUAUCAAGCGGAACACCAGUGGCGAAGGCGGGUCUCUGGACAGUUCCUGACACUGAGGCACGAAGGCCAGGGGAGCAAACGGG